RNAcentral lists this small RNA (569 nucleotides) under Pongo abelii (Sumatran orangutan). RNAcentral's name for it is "retained intron". The record is from RNAcentral. Lineage: Eukaryota; Metazoa; Chordata; Mammalia; Primates; Hominidae.
ACUCCCCCGCCCUCCCCAGGGCCCUGGGAAGGGGCUCAGCGUGGGAAAGGAUGGUUGAGUUUUAACCAGAGGCAAAGCGUGAGCGGGAUCAGUGUGUGCGGAACGCGAGCAGCCGAGAGCGGAGAGGCGCCGCUGUAGUUAACUCCUCCCUGCCCGCCGCGCCGACCCUCCCCUGGAUCCCCCAGGCAACCAGCAUGAAGCGAGCUCACCCCGAGUACAGCUCCUCGGACAGCGAGCUGGACGAGACCAUCGAGGUGGAGAAGGAGAGUGCGGACGAGAAUGGAAACUUGAGUUCGGCUCUAGGUUCCAUGUCCCCAACUACAUCUUCCCAGAUUUUGGCCAGAAAAAGACGGAGAGGAGUGAGUCUCUUUACACUCUCCUUUUAUUUUUGUUAUUGAUUAACGGAAAUAACCACCUUUUUUUUUUGUCUUGGAAAUUUACAGUCGUAAUGGUAAUGCCUUCCUUUGUUUUGCUUGCCUUCUGCAGAUAAUUGAGAAGCGCCGACGAGACCGGAUCAAUAACAGUUUGUCUGAGCUGAGAAGGCUGGUACCCAGUGCUUUUGAGAAGCA